Long non-coding RNA from Bos grunniens (domestic yak), 1593 nucleotides. Lineage: Eukaryota; Metazoa; Chordata; Mammalia; Artiodactyla; Bovidae. The record is from Ensembl.
UCAGGCGCAGGCCUGAGACGCCUCCGGGGGAGGAGGGGCCGUGUUCCUGAUGACCACACACUCAGUGCACUUUCCCAUCUGCAUUCAUUUGGGGAGCUAAUUCUGGCUGCUGAAUGUCUUCAUUUAAAAUACACAUACAUGUAUUUUGUUCAGUGUUUUAAUUAGGCCCAAAGGAAUGUACUUUCAAAUUUUGGUACACUUCAUUUGUUAUAUUAAUGAAAAGCCACUUUAAAUCAAGUUUCCUGUUGAUAUUUCAUUAUGUAUGCUGUUCUUACACAUCUCUAAAGGAGAUUUACGUUACAGGUAGUAACCACAAAUACCGGCCGUGGACAUGCUGUUAAUUUAAAAUGUAAAGUUUUCUUUUGAGGCGCAGCAGAAAUAUAGGGUCGCUCUCUUCGCCAGGGCCGCUCACUUCCUGUGAAAAUGACCCACAGCUGUCGCCCCAUCCGGAGGCCCAACCUACAGGCAGGGAUCUGACGUUCACACCCAGGUUCACGGAGACAGAGCUCAGCACGGGGGCAGAGCAUAAUGUGCAGGGACUGGCCCCGCUCCCGACAACAUGGGCAGCCUUGACGGUGGCGCUGGCCUUGCCCUCGGCUGUCGCUGAACGUUUCCAGGUGCCAGCACUGCACCAGGCAGGUGAGGGAGGCAACAGCUGGGAUGACUGGGGCACAACCAGUUGUCUGGCCACGCUUCCUCUGGUGGCCUUCAGGGCCUUACAAACACCGACAGAUGUUACCUCCAGGACCCUCACGAGGACCCUCUGCGUCAAGCUGUCAUCGUCACUCCUGUUUUACAGGUGAGUGAACCAGUUCUCAGAGAGGUCAAGUGACAAGCCCCAUGUCACACCGCAGAUGCAGGGCGUCGGGGGAGUACAAAGGGCCCAGCAGAAGCACCAGGUCUCUAAUGACUGACACCUGUGUUUUAUAAUUUCUUACUGUCACCAAGGCAGAGGGUGGGGAGUGUUAUGGUUGACUCUUUUUUCCUGGUUGACUUUUUAACAUCUUAUGAUGGAGAAAGGAAUUUCAGACAGUAUUCUGCAGCUUAAUUUUUUUUAAAGAGAAUUUUUAAGUGUAAGGCAAAUAUGUUGUUAUGCGUGGCUGGAUGGUACCAUACGCACUGAAAUGGCCUCUUUAGAGAAAGUUAAGAUAAAUGUGGCAGUUAGGUGACACAGCCCCCAGUGCCCUCAGCAGCCCCAACAGGGGCAGAAAGGGCCAGACACUCACUUUCCCAGAGGUGAGACCCAUGUGCGAAGGAAGCCUGCUGAAGGCGCCUGGGAAAGCACGUCGUCCCUGAUCAGAGCAGAGGCAUGCUCAGGGUGCUCUCCCUUGCGGCUCCUUGCAGCUUUGGGUCACACCAGGCACCCAUCUUGCAGUCUGAGGGCAGAGGAGGGGGCGGGAGGAUGGAGGGGUCUGGCCCCCCUGAGUUGAGAGCCCACCCUGGGCCAUGUCUCCAAGGGGACACUGCCUGUGAAGGGACAGCCUGAGCCCUGGUGGGAACGUCUUGGGCUACCUGUGCCCACAGCACACCCCCUGUGCUCUGCGUGCCCCCAGUGCCCUUGGAGCCAGGGCAGCAGGAGCCCCAGGAAAGGGG